Molecule: non-coding RNA, 71 nt
Organism: Trichonephila inaurata madagascariensis
Lineage: Eukaryota; Metazoa; Arthropoda; Arachnida; Araneae; Nephilidae
Source: the annotation of a GenBank genome assembly
GAGGGUAUAGCUCAGUGGUAGAGCAUUCCACUGCUAUUCGAGAGCUUCCGGUUCAUACCCGGCUGUCCUCU